UGGAAAUCCCUCCUGCUGGCAAAGGCACGGGAGCUGCGAACUUCUGAACAAGGCAGGCAGCACGCCCUGGGGAAAGGCAGGGGUCAAACGCGUCUGGGGGAAGCUCGGUCAGCUGAAGCUGGAAGAAGUUUGCUGAAUCGCUUUUGAAAAGACAGCACACCUUUGCAUGUGGCCAGGUGCUACGCUCAGCACCAGGAGCACAGCACAUGCCUUGUGUGUCAGUAGCUAGGUCAAAAUUCCUGAAGCCAAAGGCUACGCACAGCUGUGGGCUGGCCUGUCAGGAAAGCAGCAGCAUCAGUCCAAGGGCAGAGCACAGUAGGGACAGAAGGCACUUCAGCACCUCUCCCUCCCAUGGUGGCAGGGCCAGGGAACCCCGGGGAUGUCCAGAGAGACCUCGGCUCCUCACAAACAGUCCCAGAAAUAAAAAGGAAAACCAGUAGGCACUAGACACUACAUUCCUAGUGCUAGAAAUUUAUCGUGUUGAUCAGGGACCUCUCACUGGUUAAACUCUAAAGCUAAUCUCAGCUUCUUUGAACAAACCACUCUGUUGUAUUUUGAGUAUUAUUUUCCAGAGGAACAGGAACCGAAACACUACAGUAAUCACAUUUCUUUGUGGAGUAUGAAGAGAAUCUUUUCAGAAACCAUACAAACAAAUCAGGAUAAGUUCUGCAGCUGCACAGAUGAGAACAACAUAGAGCAGAACAGAGAAACACUUCUUUUGCCAUUAAAAGCAGGUAAAUAAAUAAAACAAGAGUGCUUCACAAUACUGUCGCAGAUUGUUUCCACAGAAGCAGUCUGGAUGCAGUCAGAACAAUCAAGUUGGACCUGAUCUGGUAGCGCAGUUAAUAUUAGCUGUUAGAAAUUAAUUCCAUAAUAUUAAUUUCUGGUUUGUUGGCUUUUAUUGACCAACAAUUUGGUGUUAGGCGGAGUGUUGCAUAACUGAUUGCUUGCCAGCAAUACUAUCUUUCAGAAGGCAACAAGCAUCUUAUCUAUACUAGAGGAGAAAAAGAUAAUAAUCUCUUGGCAAGGUACUGUUUACAAAAGCCAGAUUUAUACUGGCAGUAAUGCCUUUAAAUUGCAAUUAACAAUGGUUUCACGGUUUAGUUUACUGUGAAAAGGAAGAUUACUAAAGAUUUGGAGAAACAUACUUGCUGACACUACUUUGCGUCGAUAUUUAGACAUCUGGAUGCCCCAGUACACCACACUGACGGUUCAGACAGGGUGCUCUGGUGUACGUUGCUCUUCAGUGGAUGCUCUACGGUAAAACACAUCUGCUUUGUGCACAGCCUCUUACAAGUUACUGGGUGUGCAAUAAUACUUUAAGAGUUUUUUGACCUCUUGAGAGCUGGAGCUGUGGGGUGUAUCUAGCAAUGCACCCCUCUGAUGGUGCAGAACCUCUGGAGAGGGUCAGUACGGGCUCCUCGAGCACCCUCCAGGUACAGGCUGCUCCUCAGGAGGGAGACCUUCACCACACUGGGCAAGCAAGCUUCUCCCAGGACCAGGGCUUGCAAGGGUAAAGCAGACCCUCCAUCACCUGUAACUCAGCAAGACUUUGAGGAUCUGGACAUAGGAGGAAAACUAAUCUCUUCCAUCCCUUAACCAACUGACAACAUACCUCAGCCUAAAUCCGUGUGUCUUCUGCUACUCUGAGCAUGCUGUCAUUUGAAACACAUUCACUGUGUCUCCAUGUUCCUGCUUUUCUCCACAUCCGACUCUCUCAAAAUACUGAUGAGCCUGUCAUUCCAAUUGCUCUAAUACUCAUCUGUAUCUGGUGUCAGGCAUAAAAUUCAGAAGAUCUUCUGUAAGAUGUUUUUGCUGUUGUGCAGUAAUACAAAAACAUAUUCAUAAAGUCUAUGCAUUUGUCAAUAUGAUAAAUAGUGUUAUCUCUCAGAAGCUGAAUUCAUUACCUUCUCUGAUGCUAUCAGUACUGAGCAGAGUACUAACAGAUCAGGUGAAAACAGCAUUAGAAAGCAGGUUGCCUUCACAUUAGGUGCCUGUGUGGCUACAAGCAGAAAAGCUGACAUAUUUACCAGAAAUACUAAUAACUCUAGAUGCCUUUAAUGUUGACCCAUUCUAAUACUGA
Falco peregrinus (peregrine falcon) is the source of this 2083-nucleotide long non-coding RNA. RefSeq lists it as uncharacterized. The record is from RefSeq and is a predicted model, not a curated record. The transcript has 3 exons. Lineage: Eukaryota; Metazoa; Chordata; Aves; Falconiformes; Falconidae.